CUGGCCCUACGGGGGGCAGCAGUGAGGAAUAUUGGUCAAUGGGCGAGAGCCUGAACCAGCCAAGUCGCGUGAAGGAUGACGGCCCUAUGGGUUGUAAACUUCUUUUGUCGGGGAGCAAUUGGGUCCACGUGUGGGCUUAGCGAGAGUACCUGAAGAAAAAGCAUCGGCUAACUCCGUGCCAGCAGCCGCGGUAAUACGGAGGAUGCGAGCGUUAUCCGGAUUUAUUGGGUUUAAAGGGU
This 239-nucleotide ribosomal RNA is filed under the name uncultured bacterium. Its description in RNAcentral is "partial 16S ribosomal RNA". It matches the Rfam family "Bacterial small subunit ribosomal RNA", at positions 332 to 568 of the family's 1533-position model. The record is from RNAcentral.